AAAGAUUAAGCCAUGCAUGUCUAAGUAUAGGCAAUUAUACCGUGAAACUGCGAACGGCUCAUUAAAUCAGUUAUCGUUUAUUUGAUAGUACCUUACUACUUGGAUAACCGUGGUAAUUCUAGAGCUAAUACAUGCUGAAAACCCCGACUUCGGGAGGGGUGUAUUUAUUAGAUAAAAAACCAACGCCCUUCGGGGCUUCUUGGUGAUUCAUGAUAACUUCACGGAUCGCAUGGCCUUGCGCCGGCGACGGUUCAUUCAAAUUUCUGCCCUAUCAACUUUCGAUGGUAAGGUAUUGGCUUACCAUGGUUUCAACGGGUAACGGGGAAU
This 327-nucleotide ribosomal RNA is filed under the name uncultured fungus. Its description in RNAcentral is "SSU rRNA". It matches the Rfam family "Eukaryotic small subunit ribosomal RNA", at positions 39 to 370 of the family's 1831-position model. The record is from RNAcentral. Lineage: Eukaryota; Fungi.